Molecule: ribosomal RNA, 252 nt
Filed under: uncultured bacterium
Lineage: Bacteria
Description: partial 16S ribosomal RNA
Rfam family: Bacterial small subunit ribosomal RNA
Source: RNAcentral
UACGUAGGGGGCGAGCGUUGUCCGGAUUUACUGGGCGUAAAGGGUGAGUAGGCGGUUGUAUAAGUCAGAUGUAAAAGGCACAGGCUUAACUUGUGUAAGCAUUUGAAACUGUACGACUUGAGUGCAGGAGAGGUAAGUGGAAUUCCUAGUGUAGCGGUGAAAUGCGUAGAUAUUAGGAGGAACACCAGUGGCGAAGGCGACUUACUGGACUGUAACUGACGCUGAGUCACGAAAGCGUGGGUAGCAAACAGG